This 636-nucleotide ribosomal RNA is filed under the name uncultured bacterium. RNAcentral describes it as "bacterial SSU rRNA". It matches the Rfam family "Bacterial small subunit ribosomal RNA", at positions 754 to 1390 of the family's 1533-position model. The record is from RNAcentral.
CGAAAGCGUGGGGAGCGAACAGGAUUAGAUACCCUGGUAGUCCACGCCGUAAACGAUGAGUGCUAAGUGUUGGAGGGUUUCCGCCCUUCAGUGCUGCAGCAAACGCAUUAAGCACUCCGCCUGGGGAGUACGACCGCAAGGUUGAAACUCAAAGGAAUUGACGGGGGCCCGCACAAGCGGUGGAGCAUGUGGUUUAAUUCGAAGCAACGCGAAGAACCUUACCAGGUCUUGACAUCCUUUGACCACUCUAGAGAUAGAGCUUCCCCUUCGGGGGCAAAGUGACAGGUGGUGCAUGGUUGUCGUCAGCUCGUGUCGUGAGAUGUUGGGUUAAGUCCCGCAACGAGCGCAACCCUUAUUGUUAGUUGCCAUCAUUUAGUUGGGCACUCUAGCGAGACUGCCGGUGACAAACCGGAGGAAGGUGGGGAUGACGUCAAAUCAUCAUGCCCCUUAUGACCUGGGCUACACACGUGCUACAAUGGGAAGUACAACGAGUUGCGAAGUCGCGAGGCUAAGCUAAUCUCUUAAAGCUUCUCUCAGUUCGGAUUGUAGGCUGCAACUCGCCUACAUGAAGCCGGAAUCGCUAGUAAUCGCGGAUCAGCACGCCGCGGUGAAUACGUUCCCGGGCCUUGCACACAC